This 85-nucleotide transfer RNA is filed under the name Felis catus (domestic cat). It matches the Rfam family "tRNA". From Rfam's summary of the family: Transfer RNA (tRNA) molecules are approximately 80 nucleotides in length. Their secondary structure includes four short double-helical elements and three loops (D, anti-codon, and T loops). Lineage: Eukaryota; Metazoa; Chordata; Mammalia; Carnivora; Felidae. The record is from Rfam by way of RNAcentral.
GCCUGGGUGGCUCAGUUGGUUGAGCGUCUGACUUCGGCUCAGGUCAUGAUCUCGCAGUCUGUGAGUUCGAGCCCCGUGUCGGGCU